UACGAAGGGGGCUAGCGUUGCUCGGAAUCAUUGGGCGUAAAGCGCGUGUAGGCGGUUGUCUAAGUCUGAUGUGAAAUCCCGGGGCUCAACCCCGGAACUGCAUCGGAUACUGGACAGCUAGAGGAUGAGAGAGGAUGGUGGAAUUCCAGGUGUAGGGGUGAAAUCCGUAGAUAUCUGGAGGAACAUCGGUGGCGAAGGCGGCCAUCUGGCUCAUUUCUGACGCUGAGACGCGAAAGCGUGGGGAGCAAACAGG
RNAcentral lists this ribosomal RNA (253 nucleotides) under uncultured bacterium. RNAcentral describes it as "partial 16S ribosomal RNA". It matches the Rfam family "Bacterial small subunit ribosomal RNA", at positions 524 to 776 of the family's 1533-position model. The record is from RNAcentral.